GAUGAAGAACGCAGCAAAAUGCGAUAAGUAAUGUGAAUUGCAGAAUUCAGUGAAUCAUCGAAUCUUUGAACGCACAUUGCGCCCGUCAGUAUUCUGGCGGGCAUGCCUGUUCGAGCGUCAUUUCAACCCUCAAGCACAGCUUGGUGUUGGGACUCGCGUUAAUUCGCGUUCCUCAAAUUGAUUGGCGGUCACGUCGAGCUUCCAUAGCGUAGUAGUAAAACCCUCGUUACUGGUAAUCGUCGCGGCCACGCCGUUAAACCCCAACUUCUGAAUGUUGACCUCGGAUCAGGUAGGAAUACCCGCUGAACUUAAGCAUAUCAAUAAGCGGAGGA
Molecule: unclassified non-coding RNA, 332 nt
Filed under: soil metagenome
Description: partial contains 5.8S ribosomal RNA, internal transcribed spacer 2, and large subunit ribosomal RNA
Rfam family: 5.8S ribosomal RNA (bases 1-120)
Source: RNAcentral